Molecule: unclassified non-coding RNA, 298 nt
Organism: Gorilla gorilla gorilla (western lowland gorilla)
Lineage: Eukaryota; Metazoa; Chordata; Mammalia; Primates; Hominidae
Rfam family: Metazoan signal recognition particle RNA
About the family: The signal recognition particle (SRP) is a universally conserved ribonucleoprotein. It is involved in the co-translational targeting of proteins to membranes.
Source: Ensembl
GCUAGGUUUGGUGGCACACUCUUGUAAUGCCAGCUACUCCAGAGGCUGAAGCGGGAGGGUCGCUUGAAUCCCAGGAGUUCUGGGCUGCAGUGCGGUAUGCCCAUCCAGUAUCCAGAGUAGGUUCAUCAUCAAUAUGGCGACCUCCGGGAGUGGAGUGGAGGGUUGCCUAAGGUGGGGUGAACUGUCCCAGAAACAGAGCAGGUUAAAACUCAUGCUCAUGUGCUGAUCAGCAGCGGGAUCGCACCUAUGAAUAGCCACCGCACUCCAGCCUAGGCUACAUAGCAGGACCCUAGUCUCA